GGAAAAAAAGCAACCUUACCAUUCCCUCUCCCAUAUGCUUCAACUUUCAUGUCUGUUUUGCCAUCUAUUCCAUUAACACUAUGAUUAAUGAAAGCUCUCCAGAAUUUCAAAUACCUUGAAAAGUAGCCAACGCCUGCACUUUGGAAGCUACACUGAAAAUAAAUAACAAUAAAAACAGGGUGAUCCAGGCUUUUGAAGUCUUUAAAGACAUCAGCCCUGUGAUCUUUGUACCACUGCUGCGGAAAAGAGGACAACAUUUCACAUUUCUGGCAUUACUAAUGACAGCACGGCAACUGAAAGAAAGCAUGAAUUUCUGGGAGUAGCAUUAGGAUACAGGAUUCCUGCUGAGCUCACCAGUUCCUUGCUCUGCACAGCUGCCUUCUCAGCUGGGGAUUUUAAACCAGCACUGUGAGAAAGACAGAAAUGACCAUGAUGCAUUUUCCUCACUAUGAGAAAAAGAUUAAUCCAAAGUUGAUUGAGGGCCCACCAUGUAUUAGGCAUUGCCAUAGAAUUCCUGAAGAUCUGAACACAGUGACCACUUGGCAGAAACUUCUAGGUGCAGAAACGUCGGAAGAGAAUUUCCCAAUUGUGUCCUGAGUGGUACUGUUGCUGCAAGAUCUCCUUGCCCAACACACAGCCCAUAAUGAUGCAUCCAAGGCUAGAAGACAUUUUGUAAGACAGAAAUCUUUGCAACUUUAUGCACUUUUCAAGCUUAUCUGAGCAAAAAAAUCUCCCCCCCCCGCAUGUAAUCAUUAAUUUGUAACUUAAAUAUGUAAAAAAAAUCACUAUUAAUUUCAGCAAAAAUCUCUAUAGUUAUUUAUUAAUAAACCACAUAAAGAAAUUGUGUAUUGCUUUGCUUAAUAAAUUGAGAAGAAACUUGAGCUCACUCUGGCAGCUAUAGAGAGAGGGAACGAGUGAGGGGAAAUAAAGGUGUAAAGAGAGAGAGGGGCUGGGGUAGGGGUUCUAGAAGCGAGAAAUUCCCUGUAGUGGGGAUGGUUGAG
Molecule: long non-coding RNA, 1001 nt
Filed under: Equus asinus (donkey)
Lineage: Eukaryota; Metazoa; Chordata; Mammalia; Perissodactyla; Equidae
Description: lncRNA (ENSEASG00005032971.1)
Source: RNAcentral